Molecule: ribosomal RNA, 1948 nt
Filed under: Echiniphimedia echinata
Lineage: Eukaryota; Metazoa; Arthropoda; Malacostraca; Amphipoda; Iphimediidae
Description: partial 18S ribosomal RNA
Rfam family: Eukaryotic small subunit ribosomal RNA
Source: RNAcentral
GCUUGCACACACGGCGAAMCCGCGGACGGCUCAYUAAAUCAGUCGUGGUCCAAAUGGGCUAGUGUUAUCUUACUUGGAUAACUGUGGUAAUUCCAGAGCUAAUACAUGCAACUGUAAGUCCGAGCGGCUUGUGUGGCAACACACUCGCUGCGACGACYGCUUUUAUUAGACCAAACCGCUGAGAGAUGCGCACAUACUGUGUGUCUCGUAGACUCGUGUUAUGGUGACUCUGAAUAACACCUCAUGACAAGCGCACGUAUCCDUUUAUUUGGGACGGCGCUGCCACUUUCGAGUGUCUGCCUUAUCAGCUAUGUAUCGUUCGUUAUGUGCGACCGAUGGCUUUGACGGGUAACGGGGAAUCAGGGUUCGAUUCCGGAGAGGCAGCCUGAGAAACGGCUACCACGUCCAAGGACGGCAGCAGGCACGCAAAUUACCCAAUCCCAGCAACUGGGGGAGGUAGUGACGAAAUCUAACGAUGCGGGCGCCCCUUCUGGGGCCCCGCAAUCGGAAUGAGCGCUUCUUUCUAAACAUACCGUUGAGAACCUACUGAAGGGCAAGUCUGGUGCCAGCAGCCGCGGUAAUUCCAGCUUCAGCAGCAUCUACUAAAGUUGCUGCGGUUAAAAGGCUCGCAGUUGAAUGUCAGUAUCAAGUGCAGCGAUGGUGGACGUUGGAGUGUGGGUUAGUUAGUUGGCGGUCGUGCUUGGCUUCGGCUCUGUGCAGCGUCGGCUUCUGCUCGCUUUAACUCCCGUCCGUAACAAGCCUCCUCACUUGCUUACAAAAUGGAAUCUAAUGGUGGAAGUGUUUAUGUUGUUCAUUCGCGAGCUCUCGUGCGCGCUUGCUUUACGUGGGUGUGCCUUGGGUGAGUGGGUGACUGGGUCUCUGUAAGCUGGAUUUCAAUGUCACCUUGAGUAAAUCAGAGUGCUCAAAGCAGUCGUAAAGGAUGUGCGGCGUUAACGCGUCGUACGUUCUGUGAUGAAUGUCUAUUAUGACAGACGGUCUUGAUUUUGCAUGGUAUGUCGAAAGACGCCGUAUUUCCUGUUGGUAACGAGUCUGGUGCGGGCUUGCAUCCAGGGGCCUCUCUUUCUUUACGGAGAGGGUGCGUCUUUGAGUGUGACACACGAGACCMACASSUGCGGAAUGAUUMAAAGGUYCGGUCGMRGGCAUUGGUAAGCCUGCGGCUUAUUUGACUCAACACGGGCCAUCUCACCAGGCCAGCACUCUUGUACGAUUGACAGAUUGAGAGUUCUUUCUCGAUUCAGUGGAUGGUGGUGCAUGGCCGUUCUUAGUUGGUGGAGUGAUCUGUCUGGUUAAUUCCGAUAACGAACGAGACUCUYCCCUGCUAAAUAGUCGGUUGGAUUUUGCGUUCGAGGGUGUUGUGUGACUUGUGUUUGUGUGGGUGUGCUUUUAUGUGCGCUCGCGCGGCUCUUUGUUGCACCUCCCUCCAAGUCCGCCGCUUACUUACACAAGUGGAGUGUAACAGCGAAGCUAUAUGAGUAAAACUCUUCUUAGAGGGAUUCACGGUUCUGAAGCCGUAAGAAACUGAGAGCAAUAACAGGUCUGUGAUGCCCUUAGAUGUUCUGGGCCGCACGCGCGCUACAAUGCCGGGCACAGCAGGUAUCUAUCCUUCUCCGAGAGGAGUGGGUAACCCUCUGAAAGCCCUUGAAACAAUUUACCAGAGUAGAGUCAUCACUUCGUGUGUUGUCUCUGCUUCCUUGGCUUGCUUGGGCCUGUGGCUUGCAAUUUUUUCACACAAACGAGGAAUGCCUAGUAGCGGCGGAUCACUGAGUUCGCUGUGACUCAGUCCCUGCCCUUUGUACACACCGCCCGUCGCUACUACCGAUUGGGUGUACCAGUGAGAUCCUUGGACUGGCGAGCCUUGUGCUUUAGCAAUAGAGUGCAAGUGUGUACGACGGAAAGAGGUUCGAACUGGUGCACUAGAGGAAGUAAA